GACGAACGCUGGCGGCGUGCCUAAUACAUGCAAGUUGAGCGCUGAAGGUUGGUACUUGUACCAACUGGAUGAGCAGCGAACGGGUGAGUAACGCGUGGGGAAUCUGCCUUUGAGCGGGGGACAACAUUUGGAAACGAAUGCUAAUACCGCAUAAAAACUUUAAACACAAGUUUUAAGUUUGAAAGAUGCAAUUGCAUCACUCAAAGAUGAUCCCGCGUUGUAUUAGCUAGUUGGUGAGGUAAAGGCUCACCAAGGCGAUGAUACAUAGCCGACCUGAGAGGGUGAUCGGCCACAUUGGGACUGAGACACGGCCCAAACUCCUACGGGAGGCAGCAGUAGGGAAUCUUCGGCAAUGGACGAAAGUCUGGCCGAGCAACGCCGCGUGAGGGAAGAAGGUUUUCGGAUCGUAAAACUCUGUUGGUAGAGAAGAACGUUGGUGGGAGUGGAAAGCUCAUCAAGUGACGGUAACUACCCAGAAAGGGACGGCUAACUGCGUG
Molecule: ribosomal RNA, 497 nt
Filed under: uncultured bacterium
Lineage: Bacteria
Description: partial 16S ribosomal RNA
Rfam family: Bacterial small subunit ribosomal RNA
Source: RNAcentral